This 149-nucleotide unclassified non-coding RNA is filed under the name soil metagenome. RNAcentral describes it as "partial internal transcribed spacer 1". The record is from RNAcentral.
CCGAGUUUACAACUCCCAAACCCCUGUGAACAUACCUUUAUGUUGCCUCGGCGGAUCAGCCCGCGCCCCGUAAAACGGGACGGCCCGCCGCAGGAAACCCUAAACUCUGUUUUUAGUGGAACUUCUGAGUAUGAAAAACAAAUAAAUCA